Molecule: transfer RNA, 75 nt
Filed under: Phytophthora fragariae
Lineage: Eukaryota; Oomycota; Peronosporomycetes; Peronosporales; Peronosporaceae
Also listed under: 2 other names
Rfam family: tRNA
About the family: Transfer RNA (tRNA) molecules are approximately 80 nucleotides in length.
Source: Rfam by way of RNAcentral
CGGAAGGUAGCAUAGUCAGGCUAAUGCAUCUGUUUUGGGAACAGAAGAUCAAAGGUUCAAAUCCUUUUCUUCCGA